GGGAAAACAGAUGUCGUGCCAGGUAGGUCAGAACAACUGGAUCUUCACCGAUUCACCGGUGUGCUAUGUGACGCCGAACUUGCGUCUACAUCAGUGCACCUGUCCGCUGACAACGUGCACCCCCACCGCGGCUGGCUACGGGUGCCACCUGACAUCCUCUGUUAUGAUUCUCUCCGGUGUGCUAGUCGUAGUCUGGAUCAUGGCUGCGUGCGCCUACGUGUACGUUUUGAAUUUCGUCGGCGAGCUGGAACUAGAGGCUCGCACGGAGAAGGUGGUCUCUCUCAGCCGCAAUUACUACUACCACAAGUUGUUCGGCACCGGUAGCCCGAUGCUCCCGUCAAGUGUCUAUGUACCGGAUAGAAAGUUGCGCUCGGAGUAGACGACACGGCUCUGCUGUGGAGUUGAGAUCGCAGAGGCGUUGCCCCCUCUCCUCUUCUUUUCUUCUCUUUCUGGCCUUUCUUUUCGGGGCUUAGCGCCGGCACACCUAGAAAGAGGAGAAGAGGGGAUAGGGGGGCUACUCAGGGCACAUCUGCAUCUGUCUCGUGUGAAUAACAGGAAACGCGUACGCGUGCCCGGACAACCCUCCAGGCGUGCACACGUUUGCGUCCGGGUGUGAACCGAUGGAUUCCGUGUGCGGGGGCUGGCGCUUCUCGGUCAACGCUGCCUAGUGGGGUGGGUGCGCAGGCGGCAGCGCCGCUGUUUGCAGCAAAGGAUAGGCCUCUUCUUAGGCGCGUGCCGCUGUGUUCCUUUUCACCCUUUUUCCUCUUUGUAGGCGAAUGCCGCCGUUGCCGUGGUCUGUCCAAUUUUUCCCCUUCCCGCUGUACUGCUGCAGGCGAGAGGGGCCACACCUUCUCUGUCCUACCUCUCCACUUGGUAUGCGUAUGUGCAAACGCGUGUAAGUGGCCGCUUCUCCCGUCUUAGCCACUUCCUGCGCUUCCUCCUUCGCGCCUUCGUUUCGGGCUCGAACUGUCCACUCCGACUCUCGCAUCCUCCUCGCGUCUUCUCGGUAUCCCUUCUUUACCUCUUCUUACCAUAACUCACCCCCUGAUUAUGGACGGCUGCCUCACUGUGAUGUCAGGGUCUGAUACCCUCUCCACCCCCCACACGCUGCGUGUGGGAGCGACCAAGAGCCUGCGGCCUUCCCUGGUAUACGGCCGUGGACUCUUGGUGUCCGCGGAGAGGUCUGGGCUUGCUCUGGGCCGAAGAGACGUGCAUCCAUGACCACAUCUAUGCCAGCGCACUGCCAAUCGUGUCGACGGCUCACCGAGUGUGUGCGCAUUUUUACGUUGAACCCCUAAGCCAGCCGAUGAGUGUGCCAUCUUCUGUUGGCUUAUUUUCGUUUUGCUUUUUU
Molecule: unclassified non-coding RNA, 1351 nt
Filed under: Leishmania donovani
Lineage: Eukaryota; Euglenozoa; Kinetoplastea; Trypanosomatida; Trypanosomatidae
Description: gene:LdHU3.29.4010(CDS-product:hypothetical_prote in_conserved)
Source: RNAcentral